This is a long non-coding RNA of Phascolarctos cinereus (koala), 1021 nucleotides long. RefSeq lists it as uncharacterized. NCBI's taxonomy places the organism in Eukaryota, Metazoa, Chordata, Mammalia, Diprotodontia, Phascolarctidae. The record is from RefSeq and is a predicted model, not a curated record.
CUUCUUUAUCUGUGGAGGAGAAGGAGGGGGAGGAGAAGGGAGAGGAGGAGGUAGAGAAGGAGAUGAAAGAUCCCAGAAAUUCCUGCACUUUCCUGUGUGGAUAUGUAUGAGGGCAACGAAGGAAAGCUAGUUGGUAGAAAUUCCAGACUGAAGAAAGUGAAGAAAAAAAAUAGGCCUGUGUGGCUGGGAAACUGGAUCAUCUGAAGAAAGCCCCUGCUCCUGAGUGAACCAAGUUAGAAGCAGCCAACAUCCAUACAAGACAUUUGUCUCAAGAUUCUGGACACCAGCUGAGUCUACUGUCCUAGUUUUUUUUUCCUCUCCCCUUUUGUUAUGUGCGCAACCGCCAAUACCCUGAUUCAAGUGUGUGUUGGCAUUUUCUCCCUCUGACAUUCUAGGCCAACCCAUCUCUUUUCAAAUAAUGACUAAUAAUGACACCUGGUAUACACCUACUCCAGAGACUGGCUCAAGGAAUUAACUGCCGGGGCAAUAUCAGGUGGCUGCAUAUACCUCCUUCUCCUUCAUUGGCCUUAAGGGUAAGGGUUCUUUCAGACCCCCUCCCUUUGGCCAAAAGGAGGAAAUGUCAAAAUAUGUUGCAGAGCUAAGGCCCAGAAAACAAACUGUUCACUGAGCUUGGCAAAACAACAAUCCGUUGAGCUCAGGAUGAUCUUGCACUCCGGCAAAAUGUCUUGCACCAGGUGUUCACUCCCCCUAUUUCCCAGGGACCUGAGAGCCAACAUCCAUCACAUCUCUGACAUGUUGCUUGUACUGUACUACUGUUCCUGUCACAGAACUCUGGUUCUGUACCCCACAGAAGUAAUCAUGGCCCCUAAGACUUUGGACAAUACCAUUCCCACAGGACCCAUGGCAACAGUAACUCAAGACCUAAAAAUGAUUAUGUCAUAGUCCAGCCCAGUAUUUAUAGAAUCACUGCCUACAUGUUAAGCCCUCCUACUCAGGAAGACUUCCACUUGCAAGUGUUUUCCUCACUCUGAAACUAAUUAAACUAGUACUUGUUUCUUGA